GCAAACUUGGUCAUUUAGAGGAAGUAAAAGUCGUAACAAGGUUUCCGUAGGUGAACCUGCGGAAGGAUCAUUAUUGAAUAAAACUUGGUUAGGGUUGUUGCUGGCUCUUCGGAGCAAUGUGCACGCCUUACACCAUUUUUUCAAUUCCACCUGUGCACUUUGCGUAGACUUUGGACAAGACCAUAUCGUAGAUCUCUACGGAUUGAGAAUUGCUGUGCUUUACAAAGGCAAGCUUUUCUUGUGCUUUCCAGGUCUAUGUUUUUAUUACACAAACUCUGAAUGUACUUUGAAUGUUUUUACAUAAGAGGCACUGGUUGUCCUUAUAUAAAUUGAAAUACAACUUUCAACAACGGAUCUCUUGGCUCUCGCAUCGAUGAAGAACGCAGC
RNAcentral lists this unclassified non-coding RNA (387 nucleotides) under uncultured fungus. Its description in RNAcentral is "partial contains small subunit ribosomal RNA, internal transcribed spacer 1, and 5.8S ribosomal RNA". The stretch from base 1 to 73 matches the Rfam family "Eukaryotic small subunit ribosomal RNA", at positions 1759 to 1831 of the family's 1831-position model. The record is from RNAcentral. Lineage: Eukaryota; Fungi.